AGGAAUUCGAGGCUGCAGUGAGCUAUGACUAUGCCACUGCACUCCAGCCUAGGUGAAAGAGCGAGACCAUGUCUCAAAAAAAAAAAGAGGAAUGACUAGAUGCUGUGAUCACAAAGGCGGCCCCUGGAGCUUCUCCUCCGGGCAGAAGAGGAGGUGGGCUGGACUGUCAAAGAAAGUGGCUGGCUUCCUUGGGCAGUCCGAGUUUCCUAGUGGCCCUCUGCAGAAAGCUCAACUUCCAGUUCCCCCAGGCCUCCGUCCCGCGGCGGACUCCUAGGCUUCCUCCCUUCCUGUCGCCGCCAGCCCCUCGCUCUCCCCGUCUUCCGCCCGCACUCUCCGGGCAGGGCUGCGGCCAGGACCCGCCCCCGCGUCCCGCCGGACCCUCCGCCAGGGGUCACUUCCCCUGUCUAGGUUUCAGCUUCCACAUGUGUCAAGCGGCUGGCUCGGCCCAGAGUCCCUGUCUCCCGCCCGCCGGCCCGAGCCGCCGCCCCUCCCCCGCCUCCUGUGCGCCCGGGACAAUCCUCGCCUUGUCUGCGGCGCCGGCAUCUGGAGCUUUCUGUAGCCUCCGGAUACGCCUUUUUU
RNAcentral lists this small RNA (579 nucleotides) under Pongo abelii (Sumatran orangutan). Its description in RNAcentral is "retained intron". The record is from RNAcentral. Lineage: Eukaryota; Metazoa; Chordata; Mammalia; Primates; Hominidae.